GAUGAACGCUGGCGGCGUGCUUAACACAUGCAAGUCGAACGGAAAGGCCCAAGCUUGCUUGGGUGCUCGAGUGGCGAACGGGUGAGUAACACGUGGGUGAUCUGCCCUGCACUUUGGGAUAAGCCUGGGAAACUGGGUCUAAUACCGGAUAGGACCAUCGUUUAGUGUCGGUGGUGGAAAGUUUUUCGGUGUGGGAUGAGCUCGCGGCCUAUCAGCUUGUUGGGGGGGUAAUGGCCUACCAAGGCGUCGACGGGUAGCCGGCCUGGGAGGGUGUACGGCCACAGUGGGACUGAAAGACGGCCCAGCCUCCUAGGGGGGGCGGAAGGGGGAAAUAUGGAAAAAGGGGGGCAGGCCGGAUGCGGCGGCGCCGGGGGGGGGAUGACGGUCUUCGGGUUGAAACCUCCUUUCCCAAGGAAAGAGGCUUUUUGUGAGGGUACUUGAAAAAAAAGCCCCGGCAAACUACGGG
This 466-nucleotide ribosomal RNA is filed under the name uncultured bacterium. RNAcentral's name for it is "partial 16S ribosomal RNA". It matches the Rfam family "Bacterial small subunit ribosomal RNA", at positions 28 to 507 of the family's 1533-position model. The record is from RNAcentral.